CCCUCAUGAGGAUGUGAAUACCAACAAACCCUCCUGUUGACCAGUAGUCUGGUGUUACAUGAUGAGGCCUAACACAGCAAGCCUGGUUCUUGGUGUAAAGAGGUAGAAGGAUCUCUAGAAUGUUCUAGAUCCAAGUAUCCUGGUGUAGUGUCCCCAUGGUUUGAUAAGAGCUGCAUCUUAAACCGUGGUAUGUCAUCUGCCAUGACAGCCCGUCCACCAGUUCCAGGUUGUACUGGUUCCAGGCUCCUGUGGGGCAGGUAUAAGAGAGCAGGUAUAAGAGAGCAGAUAUAGGAGAGCAGGUAUAAGAGAGCAGGUACAAGAGAGGAUUCUAAUAGGUGGAGCUCCAAUGAAGACACAGAUGUGCUUCUGUUGUUUUGUAGUUGAGUAUGU
Molecule: long non-coding RNA, 390 nt
Organism: Osmerus eperlanus (European smelt)
Lineage: Eukaryota; Metazoa; Chordata; Actinopteri; Osmeriformes; Osmeridae
Exons: 3
Source: RefSeq, a predicted model, not a curated record